RNAcentral lists this unclassified non-coding RNA (404 nucleotides) under soil metagenome. RNAcentral's name for it is "partial contains 5.8S ribosomal RNA, internal transcribed spacer 2, and large subunit ribosomal RNA". The stretch from base 1 to 122 matches the Rfam family "5.8S ribosomal RNA", at positions 35 to 154 of the family's 154-position model. The record is from RNAcentral.
GAUGAAGAACGCAGCGAAAUGCGAUACUUGGUGUGAAUUGCAGAAUCCCGUGAACCAUCGAGUUUUUGAACGCAAGUUGCGCCCGAAGCCUUUUGGCCGAGGGCACGUCUGCCUGGGCGUCACGCAUCGCGUCGCCCCCCACAAUUCUCCGUAAAGGGAACGUGUGUUUUGGGGGCGGAUAUUGGUCUCCCGUGCUCAUGGCGUGGUUGGCCGAAAUAGGAGUCCUUUCGAUGGACGCACGAACUAGUGGUGGUCGUAAAAACCCUCGUCUUUUGUUUCGUGCUGUUGCUCGCAAGGUAAACUCUUUAAAAACCCCAAUGUGUCGUCUCUUGACGACGCUUCGACCGCGACCCCAGGUCAGGCGGGACUACCCGCUGAGUUUAAGCAUAUCAAUAAGCGGAGGA